Molecule: transfer RNA, 74 nt
Filed under: Loxodonta africana (African savanna elephant)
Lineage: Eukaryota; Metazoa; Chordata; Mammalia; Proboscidea; Elephantidae
Rfam family: tRNA
About the family: Transfer RNA (tRNA) molecules are approximately 80 nucleotides in length. Their secondary structure includes four short double-helical elements and three loops (D, anti-codon, and T loops). Further hydrogen bonds mediate the characteristic L-shaped molecular structure. tRNAs have two regions of fundamental functional importance: the anti-codon, which is responsible for specific mRNA codon recognition, and the 3' end, to which the tRNAs corresponding amino acid is attached (by aminoacyl-tRNA synthetases). tRNAs cope with the degeneracy of the genetic code in two manners: having more than one tRNA (with a specific anti-codon) for a particular amino acid; and 'wobble' base-pairing, i.e. permitting non-standard base-pairing at the 3rd anti-codon position.
Source: Rfam by way of RNAcentral
UCCUCGGUGGUACAAAUGGUUAAUGUGCUCAGCUGCUAACUGAAAGAUUGGAAGUUUGAAUCCUCUCAGAUGAA